RNAcentral lists this signal recognition particle RNA (147 nucleotides) under Pan troglodytes (chimpanzee). RNAcentral describes it as "Metazoan signal recognition particle RNA". It matches the Rfam family "Metazoan signal recognition particle RNA". Rfam says of the family: The signal recognition particle (SRP) is a universally conserved ribonucleoprotein. It is involved in the co-translational targeting of proteins to membranes. The record is from Rfam by way of RNAcentral. Lineage: Eukaryota; Metazoa; Chordata; Mammalia; Primates; Hominidae.
GCCAGGCAUGGUGGUGCGUGCCUGUAAUCCCGGCUACUCAGGAGGCUGAGGCAGGAGAAUCACUUGAACUCAGGAGGUGGAGUUGCAGUGAGCUGAGAUAGUGCCAUUGCACUCCAGCCUGGGUGACAGAGUGAGACUCUGUCUCAA